Molecule: ribosomal RNA, 335 nt
Filed under: uncultured bacterium
Lineage: Bacteria
Description: bacterial SSU rRNA
Rfam family: Bacterial small subunit ribosomal RNA
Source: RNAcentral
ACUCCUACGGGAGGCAGCAGUAAGGAAUAUUGCGCAAUGGACGAAAGUCUGACGCAGCGACGCCGCGUGGGGGAUGAAGGUCUUCGGAUUGUAAACCCCUUUCGGCAGGGAAGAUGGAACGGGCAACCGUUCGGACGGUACCUGCAGAAGCAGCCACGGCUAACUUCGUGCCAGCAGCCGCGGUAAUACGAAGGUGGCAAGCGUUGUUCGGAUUCACUGGGCGUACAGGGAGCAUAGGCGGUUAGGUAAGCCCUCCGUGAAAUCGCCGGGCCUAACCCGGAAAGUGCAGAGGGGACUGCUUGGCUAGAGGAUGGGAGAGGAGCGCGGAAUUCCCG